GUGUCAGCCGCCGCGGUAAGACGAACCGUGCGAACGUUAUUCGGAAUCACUGGGCUUAAAGGGCGCGUAGGCGGGAUGGCGCGUCGGACGCUGAAAUCCCCCGGCUCAACCGGGGAACAGGCACCGAAACGGCCAUCCUUGAGGCGAGGAGAGGGAUCUGGAACGUCCGGUGGAGCGGUGAAAUGCGUUGAGAUCGGACGGAACGCCGACGGCGAAAGCAGGAUCCUGGACUCGAACUGACGCUGAGGCGCGAAAGCCAGGGUAGCGAACGGGAUUAGAAACCCCUGUAGUCC
RNAcentral lists this ribosomal RNA (293 nucleotides) under uncultured bacterium. RNAcentral describes it as "partial 16S ribosomal RNA". It matches the Rfam family "Bacterial small subunit ribosomal RNA", at positions 505 to 796 of the family's 1533-position model. The record is from RNAcentral.